CCACCUCCGCCGCCUUGGGAAGGCGGCUGGGAUUAGAAGGACAUCGAUUUUACCGUCUCCCCCAUCGGAGUCCCGGAGGCUGCGCUGCGGUGUGGCAAGUUCAUGGAGGAGCAGGUGCUUCAGUCGCAGGGGAUGACACACUUCCAUGGCCCCCCAUGCCAGAAGAGUUUGUAGUCUCCUCUCAUCACCUUGAAGAGUACUGGUCAAUUAUUUUGUAGAAUGUCCUUCAAAUUGGGUUUGUCUGCUGUUUUCUCCUGAUUCAGCUUAGGGAAAACCACCACAGAUGAUGUGCCACUCACACAGCACCACAUCACAGGUUGUAAUCCAUUACUGCUGUUGUCUAUCCUGUGGCUCGAACUGCUCCAGCUUUGGCCAAUGCAGCACUUUUUGACGGACAUCUACCCUUCUGAUAUCUGACAGGCUGCCAUCACUCACCUUUCGUUUGCCCUACCCCAACCCUGGAACCAACCCCUUCCCUGAGGAGCCCUUAGGAUCCACCAUCUCAGGCUGGCUCUGGUCACUGAUGCAGGUGUCACUGCUCUAAGGCCCUCUGUCGACAGACUUAGAAAACAGAUGUGUUACACUAACUCACACAUGCAUAGACCCACAUUUCUCUCUCUCUGAAAAAACCAACAGCCCUAGUUCAUGCUGACACCUCCAACCCUGAUCCAGAACCACAGGAUAACUCUAGCACCAUCCUUCCUUAUUUGUAACUUCUUCCUAGAAUACGUACAGUUUUGAGAUUGCUAACCCAUGCCCCUAUGAGAAACAAGUGCACUAACCAGAGGUUUUAUCUUUAGCCUUACAGCAUCCUGUCAAAACACUGUUUUCCAAAGUUACUGAUAGGUCAGCUAAUUCUACAUCCAUUUCACUAUGGUUAUGGCAGCAUUCCCUAACCGUUUUGGCACCAAGGACCAAUUUCUUAGAAGACAGUUUUUCCACAGACUGGGGCGAGGAGGGGGGAUGGUUUCAGGAUGAAACUGUGCCACCUCAGAUCAUCACUCUAACAUCAUAGUUAGAGUCUCAAAAGGAGUGAGUGAGCAACCUAGAUCAUUCACAUGCACAGUUCACAACAGGGUUCAUGCUCCUAUGAGAAUCUAAUGCUGCUGCUGACCUGACAGGAGGCAGAGCUCAGGCAGUAAUGCUUGCCUGCCCUCUGCUCACCUCCUGCUCUGUGGCCCAGGUCCUAACAGGCUACGGACAGGUACCGAUCCGUGGCCUAGGGGUUGGGGACCCCGGAUUAUGGGAUAAGUUUGUAAUACCAUUUGAUUCAUCUGUCACAGUUUGUAUCACUUGGGCACUCCCCCCAGUAACACACACACAAACAUCUUUGUUGAUUUUAGUGAAAUUUUGUGGUGCACAGUUCCAUGGGUUUUGACAGGUGCACAGUCAAAUCUAACACAGUCCCAUCACUCCCCAAACUGCCUCUCACUCUCUUUGUAAUCAACUCCUUUUCCCCAACUCUUAACCCCUGGCAACCACUGAUUUGUUCUUCUUCCUUAUGGUUGUGCUUUUUCUAGAGCAUCCUUUAAAUAGAAUCAUACAAUAUGGAGGCCUUUUAGGUUUGGUUUCUUUCACUAAACAAAAUGAAUUUAAGAUUCAUCCAUGUUGUGGGAAUUAAUAGUUUGUUCCUUUUGACUUUUGAGUGGUAUUCUGCUGUAGAGAUGUUACCACAAUUUGUUUAUUCAUUCACCAGUUGAAGGAUAUCUGAUUUUGAGUGUUGGCAAUUACUGAAUAAAACUCUAUUAACAGUCACAUGCAGGUUUUGUGUGAGCAUGAAUUUUCACUUACCUUGGGUAAGCACCUAGGAGUGAGACUGCCAGGUCCUAAGGCAGUGUAACACAGUAAGAAGCUGCCACACUGUUUUCCAGAGUGGCUGUGCCAUUCUGCAUUCCCAGUAGCAGGGUUGGAGAGCAUAUUCCUGCCAGCACUUGGCACUGUCCUUGCCAGCACUGGGAUGCUUCGUGAUUGUUCUUUCAUCUUAGCUACUGAUGUAGGCCUGUGCUGGUACCUUAUGAAGAAGGUGCACAGCCUUCCAAAUCACCUAGGCCCACUGUGGCAGUCUCAUUCCCCAGAACAUACUGUUAUAUCUCUAGCUGGUCAGCUGCUUGCCCCAAAUGGUACUGUGGCCUUAGGCUAGGUGCAGUGUUUACCUUCCGGAUUGCUUGCAUUUGUUUCCCUAACAAUAAAUUAUGUUGGGCAUCACAGGCUUAUUUUUCUCUGCUUAUUUGCAUGGGCUUCUCUGCAAUCCAUGCAAGUUGUUUGGUGAAGUACAGGUUCACCAAAACUAUUCCCCAAUUUUUUACUGGGUUGUUUUCUUAUUGUUGAGUUUUAAGUGUUCU
This 2342-nucleotide long non-coding RNA is filed under the name Pan troglodytes (chimpanzee). Its description in RNAcentral is "long non-coding RNA NONPTRT011231". Lineage: Eukaryota; Metazoa; Chordata; Mammalia; Primates; Hominidae. The record is from RNAcentral.